RNAcentral lists this ribosomal RNA (537 nucleotides) under uncultured bacterium. RNAcentral's name for it is "bacterial SSU rRNA". It matches the Rfam family "Bacterial small subunit ribosomal RNA", at positions 81 to 632 of the family's 1533-position model. The record is from RNAcentral.
UGCUCUGGGGAUUAGUGGCGAACGGGUGAGUAACACGUGAGUAACCUGCCCUUGACUCUGGGAUAAGCGUUGGAAACGACGUCUAAUACCGGAUACGACCAGCCUCGGCAUCGAGUGUUGGUGGAAAGAAUUUUGGUCAAGGAUGGACUCGCGGCCUAUCAGGUAGUUGGUGAGGUAAUGGCUCACCAAGCCUACGACGGGUAGCCGGCCUGAGAGGGUGACCGGCCACACUGGGACCGAGACACGGCCCAGACUCCUACGGGAGGCAGCAGUGGGGAAUAUUGCACAAUGGGCGAAAGCCUGAUGCAGCAACGCCGCGUGAGGGACGACGGCCUUCGGGUUGUAAACCUCUUUUAGCAGGGAAGAAGCGAAAGUGACGGUACCUGCAGAAAAAGCACCGGCUAACUACGUGCCAGCAGCCGCGGUAAUACGUAGGGUGCAAGCGUUGUCCGGAAUUAUUGGGCGUAAAGAGCUCGUAGGCGGUUUGUCGCGUCUGCUGUGAUAACCCGAGGCUCAACCUCGGGCCUGCAGUGGGUA